GACGAACGCUGGCGGCGUGCCUAAUACAUGCAAGUCGAACGCAGUGGGGACGGGUGAGUAACACGUGGGUAACCUCCCAUCAGAGGGGAUAACACUUGGAAACAGGUGCUAAACCGAUACUGAUGGAUGGACCCGCGGUGCCUUAGCUAGUUGGUGAGGUAACGGCUCACCAAGGCCACGAUGCAUAGCCAACCUGAGAGCGUGUUCGGCCACACUGGGACUGAGACACGGCCCAGACUCCUACGGGAGGCAGCAGUGGUGAAUAUUGCACAAUUGGCGCAAGCCUGAUUCAGCCAUGCCGCGUGUAUGAAGAAGGCCUUCGGGUUGUAAAGUACGUUCAGUCGGGAGGCGUUACCGACAGAAGAAGCACCGGCUAACUCCGUGCCAGCAGCCGCGGUAGUAC
RNAcentral lists this ribosomal RNA (403 nucleotides) under uncultured bacterium. RNAcentral describes it as "partial 16S ribosomal RNA". It matches the Rfam family "Bacterial small subunit ribosomal RNA", at positions 28 to 526 of the family's 1533-position model. The record is from RNAcentral.